Molecule: ribosomal RNA, 253 nt
Filed under: uncultured bacterium
Lineage: Bacteria
Description: partial 16S ribosomal RNA
Rfam family: Bacterial small subunit ribosomal RNA
Source: RNAcentral
UACAGGGGGGGCAAGGGUUGUUCGGAUUUACUGGGCGUAAAGGGAGCGUAGGUGGUUAGGUAAGCCCUCCGGGAAAUCUUCAGGCUUAACCUGAAAAGGUCGGGGGGGACUGCCUGGCUAGAGGACGGGAGAGGAGCGCGGAAUUCCCGGUGUAGCGGUGAAAUGCGUAGAGAUCGGGAGGAAGGCCGGUGGCGAAGGCGGCGCUCUGGAACGUUUCUGACGCUGAGGCUCGAAAGCGUGGGGAGCAAACAGG